Molecule: ribosomal RNA, 451 nt
Filed under: uncultured bacterium
Lineage: Bacteria
Description: partial 16S ribosomal RNA
Rfam family: Bacterial small subunit ribosomal RNA
Source: RNAcentral
GUGGGGAAUAUUGGACAAUGGGGGGAACCCUGAUCCAGCCAUGACGCGUGUGUGAAGAAGGCCUUUUGGUUGUAAAGCACUUUAAGCGAGGAGGAGGCUACCGAGAUUAAUACUCUUGGAUAGUGGACGUUACUCGCAGAAUAAGCACCGGCUAACUCUGUGCCAGCAGCCGCGGUAAUACAGAGGGUGCAAGCGUUAAUCGGAUUUACUGGGCGUAAAGCGCGCGUAGGUGGCCAAUUAAGUCAAAUGUGAAAUCCCCGAGCUUAACUUGGGAAUUGCAUUCGAUACUGGUUGGCUAGAGUAUGGGAGAGGAUGGUAGAAUUCCAGGUGUAGCGGUGAAAUGCGUAGAGAUCUGGAGGAAUACCGAUGGCGAAGGCAGCCAUCUGGCCUAAUACUGACACUGAGGUGCGAAAGCAUGGGGAGCAAACAGGAUUAGAAACCCCGGUAGUCC